UAGCUAGUUGGUGAGGUAAUGGCCCACCAAAGCGACGAUCGGUAGCCGGACUGAGAGGUUGAACGGCCACAUUGGGACUGAGACACGGCCAGACUCCUACGGGAGGCAGCAGUGGGGAAUAUUGCACAAUGGGGGAAACCCUGAUGCAGCGACGCCGCGUGGAGGAAGAAGGUCUUCGGAUUGUAAACUCCUGUUGUUGAGGAAGAUAAUGACGGUACUCAACAAGGAAGUGACGGCUAACUACGUGCCAGCAGCCGCGGUAAAACGUAGGUCACAAGCGUUGUCCGGAAUUACUGGGUGUAAAGGGAGCGCAGGCGGGAAGACAAGUUGGAAGUGAAAUCUAUGGGCUCAACCCAUAAACUGCUUUCAAAACUGUUUUUCUUGAGUAGUGCAGAGGUAGGCGGAAUUCCCGGUGUAGCGGUGGAAUGCGUAGAUAUCGGGAGGAACACCAGUGGCGAAGGCGGCCUACUGGGCACCAACUGACGCUGAGGCUCGAAAGUGUGGGUAGCAAACAGGAUUAGAUACCCUGGUAGUCCACACCGUAAACGAUGAUUACUAGGUGUUGGAGGAUUGACCCCUUCAGUGCCGCAGUUAACACAAUAAGUAAUCCACCUGGGGAGUACGACCGCAAGGUUGAAACUCAAAGGAAUUGACGGGGGCCCGCACAAGCAGUGGAGUAUGUGGUUUAAUUCGACGCAACGCGAAGAACCUUACCAAGUCUUGACAUCCUGCGACGAUGCUGGAAACAGUAUUUUCCUUCGGGACGCAGAGACAGGUGGUGCAUGGUUGUCGUCAGCUCGUGUCGUGAGAUGUUGGGUUAAGUCCCGCAACGAGCGCAACCCUUACUGUCAGUUACUACGCAAGAGGACUCUGGCAGGACUGCCGUUGACAAAACGGAGGAAGGUGGGGAUGACGUCAAAUCAUCAUGCCCUUUAUGACUUGGGCUACACACGUACUACAAUGGCGUUAAACAAAGAGAAGCAAGACCGCGAGGUGGAGCAAAACUCAGAAACAACGUCCCAGUUCGGACUGCAGGCUGCAACUCGCCUGCACGAAGUCGGAAUUGCUAGUAAUCGUGGAUCAGCAUGCCACGGUGAAUACGUUCCCGGGCCUUGUACACACCGCCCGUCAAACCAUGAGAGCCGGGGGGACCCGAAGUCGGUAGUCUAACCGCAAGGAGGACGCCGCCGAAGGUAAAACUGGUGAUUGGGGUGAAGUCGUAACAAGGUAA
This 1231-nucleotide ribosomal RNA is filed under the name metagenome. Its description in RNAcentral is "bacterial SSU rRNA". It matches the Rfam family "Bacterial small subunit ribosomal RNA", at positions 242 to 1499 of the family's 1533-position model. The record is from RNAcentral.